This is a long non-coding RNA of Notolabrus celidotus (New Zealand spotty), 726 nucleotides long. RefSeq lists it as uncharacterized. The record is from RefSeq and is a predicted model, not a curated record. The transcript is spliced from 3 exons. Lineage: Eukaryota; Metazoa; Chordata; Actinopteri; Labriformes; Labridae.
CAACACCAACAUCAACUAGUACUAUGCCAACUACAACACCAACUACAAUCAGCACUAUGCCAACACCAACGACCACCAACACUCAUUCCGCAAUACAAAAUGCAACAGCAUCAGCUUCUACCACUGAUGCACCAACAACAACCAUGCAAAGUACUACUUCAAGGACUACUUCCACCACUGCAAGCACAACAGCUGUUCUUUCAACACCCACCACACCAGCCACAACCAAACCAGCUACAUCAAACACUGAAUUCACAACAAUACAUAACACAACUUCACUUACUUCCACCACUGAUUGCACAACUGUUUCCAACACUACAAGUCCAACACAAAGUACAUCUGUUCCUUCUUCAUCAAGCACAACAGCAAGAACCCCACCAGGGUCUACAACUGAUAAAACAACAAAAUCAACAGCAGCAGUUACAGACUCAAAUCACACUGUCGCAGUUGUGAGAAUGAAACUUUCCUCCUUGUCUCCACUGGAUGAAGACUACAUCAGGAAUACACUAUUACCCCAGAUUAAAGGUGAACUGGUGAGUCGAGGGCUGCCGUCAGACUGCUCUAUACGCCUUGUGAGCAGUGGGACACUUGAUCCGUCAACCACAGCGCCCCCUAAUGGAUAAUGUGAAUGCUUUUUCUUGUUCCCUCUCAGAGAUAAAUCAAACAUCACUCAUUCACUUCCAGAAACUGCCAAAUUUUAAGUCUGGACCAGACGCCUCUUUCUGA